RNAcentral lists this transfer RNA (76 nucleotides) under Thiobacillus sp. RNAcentral's name for it is "tRNA-Arg". It matches the Rfam family "tRNA". From Rfam's summary of the family: Transfer RNA (tRNA) molecules are approximately 80 nucleotides in length. Lineage: Bacteria; Pseudomonadati; Pseudomonadota; Betaproteobacteria; Nitrosomonadales; Thiobacillaceae. The record is from RNAcentral. RNAcentral also lists the same sequence under 3 other names.
GCCCCGGUAGCUCAGUGGAUAGAGCAACCCCCUCCUAAGGGGUAGGCCGCACGUUCGAUUCGUGCUCGGGGCGCCA